RNAcentral lists this small RNA (287 nucleotides) under marine eukaryotic metagenome. RNAcentral describes it as "5' ureB small RNA". The record is from RNAcentral.
AUUUGUUGUGGGCAAAUAAAAUGUAUAUGUGAAUCAAACCCGCCAGCCAUAACAAUAUGUCCCUCUGCUGCAAUGACUUCCGUACCAGCACCUAUCACCAUAUCUUUACUAAUACCUGAUUGAAUUAACGGAUUUCCCGCAUGACCAACACCAGCAAUACGUCCUUCUUUAACCCCUAUAUCCGCCUUAAUUACACCCAAGACCGGGUCGAUAAUUGUUGCAUUGGUUAGAACAAGAUCUAAGCAAUCCGCGUCGAGGGCUAAAGGCGACUGACCCAUACCAUCGCG